This 253-nucleotide ribosomal RNA is filed under the name uncultured bacterium. Its description in RNAcentral is "partial 16S ribosomal RNA". It matches the Rfam family "Bacterial small subunit ribosomal RNA", at positions 524 to 776 of the family's 1533-position model. The record is from RNAcentral.
UACGGAGGGCGCAAGCGUUGUUCGGAAUCAUUGGGCGUAAAGCGCGUGUAGGCGGCCAGGUAAGUCGGGUGUGAAAGCCCGGGGCCCAACCCCGGAACUGCACUCGAUACUGCCUGGCUGGAGUCCCGGAGAGGAUGGCGGAAUUUCCGGUGUAGAGGUGAAAUUCGUAGAUAUCGGAAGGAACACCAGUGGCGAAGGCGGCCAUCUGGACGUUGACUGACGCUGAGACGCGAAAGCGUGGGGAGCAAACAGG